This 1300-nucleotide ribosomal RNA is filed under the name Bacillus sp. WF03. RNAcentral describes it as "partial 16S ribosomal RNA". It matches the Rfam family "Bacterial small subunit ribosomal RNA", at positions 30 to 1311 of the family's 1533-position model. Lineage: Bacteria; Bacillati; Bacillota; Bacilli; Caryophanales; Bacillaceae. The record is from RNAcentral.
UGGAAGGGGCGGCGUGCUAUACAUGCAGUCGAGCGGACAGAUGGGAGCUUGCUCCCUGAUGUUAGCGGCGGACGGGUGAGUAACACGUGGGUAACCUGCCUGUAAGACUGGGAUAACUCCGGGAAACCGGGGCUAAUACCGGAUGGUUGUCUGAACCGCAUGGUUCAGACAUAAAAGGUGGCUUCGGCUACCACUUACAGAUGGACCCGCGGCGCAUUAGCUAGUUGGUGAGGUAACGGCUCACCAAGGCGACGAUGCGUAGCCGACCUGAGAGGGUGAUCGGCCACACUGGGACUGAGACACGGCCCAGACUCCUACGGGAGGCAGCAGUAGGGAAUCUUCCGCAAUGGACGAAAGUCUGACGGAGCAACGCCGCGUGAGUGAUGAAGGUUUUCGGAUCGUAAAGCUCUGUUGUUAGGGAAGAACAAGUGCCGUUCAAAUAGGGCGGCACCUUGACGGUACCUAACCAGAAAGCCACGGCUAACUACGUGCCAGCAGCCGCGGUAAUACGUAGGUGGCAAGCGUUGUCCGGAAUUAUUGGGCGUAAAGGGCUCGCAGGCGGUUUCUUAAGUCUGAUGUGAAAGCCCCCGGCUCAACCGGGGAGGGUCAUUGGAAACUGGGGAACUUGAGUGCAGAAGAGGAGAGUGGAAUUCCACGUGUAGCGGUGAAAUGCGUAGAGAUGUGGAGGAACACCAGUGGCGAAGGCGACUCUCUGGUCUGUAACUGACGCUGAGGAGCGAAAGCGUGGGGAGCGAACAGGAUUAGAUACCCUGGUAGUCCACGCCGUAAACGAUGAGUGCUAAGUGUUUAGGGGGGUUUCCGCCCCUUAGUGCUGCAGCUAACGCAUUAAGCACUCCGCCUGGGGAGUACGGUCGCAAGACUGAAACUCAAAGGAAUUGACGGGGGCCCGCACAAGCGGUGGAGCAUGUGGUUUAAUUCGAAGCAACGCGAAGAACCUUACCAGGUCUUGACAUCCUCUGACAUCCUAGAGAUAGGACGUCCCCUUCGGGGGCAGAGUGACAGUGGUGGCAUGGUUGUCGUCAGCUCGUGUCGUGAGAUGUUGGGUUAAGUCCCGCAACGAGCAGCAACCCUUGAUCUUAGUGCCAGCAUUCAGUUGGGCACUCUAAGGUGACUGUCGGUGACAAACCGAGAAAAGAGGGGGGGGUGAGCGUCGAUCCUCAUGGCCCCUUAUGACCUGGGCUUCUCACGCUGCUCUCAUUGGACGAAACAAGGGAGGGGAAACGAGCGAAGGUGUAGUGCCAUUCUCAUCACACUACUCUGUGUCUCCGAUCUCUCGAGU